CAAUAGCGUAUAUUAAAGUUGUUGCGGUUAAAAAGCUCGUAGUUGGAUUUCUGGUGGGAGCGAUCGGUCUGGCGCUUAGCGCGAGUACUUGCAUCGUCUCCGGCCAUCCUUGGGGAGUGUCUGUCUGGCAUUAGGUUGUCGGGCAGAGGAUCCUCAUCGUUUACUGUGAAAAAAUUAGAGUGUUCAAAGCAGGCUUAUGCCGUUGAAUAUAUUAGCAUGGAAUAAUAAGAUAGGACUUUGGUACUAUUUUGUUGGUUUGCGCACCAAAGUAAUGAUUAAUAGGGACAGUUGGGGGUAUUCGUAUUCCGUUGUCAGAGGUGAAAUUCUUGGAUUUACGGAAGACGAACUACUGCGAAAGCAUUUACCAAGGAUGUUUUCAUUAA
RNAcentral lists this ribosomal RNA (383 nucleotides) under uncultured eukaryote. RNAcentral's name for it is "partial 18S ribosomal RNA". It matches the Rfam family "Eukaryotic small subunit ribosomal RNA", at positions 592 to 976 of the family's 1831-position model. The record is from RNAcentral.